GGAAAGAUGGCAGAGUGGUUGAUUGCAUCGGUUUUGAAAACCGACGUGGCCUUCACGGUCAUCGGGGGUUCGACUCCCUCUCUUUCCG
RNAcentral lists this transfer RNA (88 nucleotides) under Stigeoclonium helveticum. Its description in RNAcentral is "tRNA-Ser". It matches the Rfam family "tRNA". Rfam says of the family: Transfer RNA (tRNA) molecules are approximately 80 nucleotides in length. Their secondary structure includes four short double-helical elements and three loops (D, anti-codon, and T loops). The record is from RNAcentral. Lineage: Eukaryota; Viridiplantae; Chlorophyta; Chlorophyceae; Chaetophorales; Chaetophoraceae. RNAcentral also lists the same sequence under 5 other names.